CUACGGGUCGCAGCAGUGAGGAAUAUUGUACAAUGGGGGGAACCCUGAUGCAGCAACGCCGCGUGGAGGAUGACGCAUUUCGGUGUGUAAACUCCUUUUAUAUGUCAAGAAAAUGACGGUAGCAUAUGAAUAAGCACCGGCUAACUCCGUGCCAGCAGCCGCGGUAAUACGGAGGGUGCAAGCGUUACUCGGAAUCACUGGGCGUAAAGGACGCGUAGGCGGGUUGGAAAGUCAGGUGUGAAAUCCUACAGCUUAACUGUAGAACUGCACUUGAAACUUCUAAUCUAGAGUAUGGGAGGGGGAGAUGGAAUUAGUGGUGUAGGGGUAAAAUCCGUAGAUAUCACUAGGAAUACCUAAAGCGAAGGCGAUCUCCAGGAACAUUACUGACGCUAAGGCGUGAAAGCGUGGGGAGCAAACAGGAUUAGAUACCCGGGUAGUC
RNAcentral lists this ribosomal RNA (439 nucleotides) under uncultured bacterium. RNAcentral's name for it is "partial 16S ribosomal RNA". It matches the Rfam family "Bacterial small subunit ribosomal RNA", at positions 339 to 795 of the family's 1533-position model. The record is from RNAcentral.